UUGUAGCCCCGAUAGUAGUGAAAAUCCUUUUGUCUCGUUUUUUAACGAGACAAAAGAUUGUAACGGAUAGCGGGAAUAGCU
This 81-nucleotide small RNA is filed under the name Flavobacterium sp. 5. RNAcentral's name for it is "Flavo-1 RNA". It matches the Rfam family "Flavo-1 RNA". The record is from RNAcentral. Lineage: Bacteria; Pseudomonadati; Bacteroidota; Flavobacteriia; Flavobacteriales; Flavobacteriaceae.